AUUGAACGCUGGCGGCAUGCCUAACACAUGCAAGUCGAACGGCAGCAUAUUCUAGCUUGCUAGAAUGAUGGCGAGUGGCGAACGGGUGAGUAACGCGUAGGGAUUUACCUUAGAGAGGGGGAUAACUCGGGGAAACUCGAGCUAAUACCGCGUGUACUGGUGACAGUAAAGCUGGGGACCUUUUUAGGCCUGGCGCUCUAAGAGAAACCUGCGUCCGAUUAGCUUGUUGGUGAGGUAAAGGCUCACCAAGGCUGCGAUCGGUAGCUGUUCUGAGAGGAAGAUCAGCCACACUGGGACUGAGACACGGCCCAGACUCCUACGGGAGGCAGCAGUGGGGAAUAUUGGACAAUGGGGGCAACCCUGAUCCAGCAAUGCCGCGUGUGUGAAGAAGGCCUGCGGGUUGUAAAGCUCUGUCCUCAAGGAAGAUAAUGACGGUACUUGAGGAGGAAGCCCCGGCUAACUACGUG
Molecule: ribosomal RNA, 467 nt
Filed under: uncultured bacterium
Lineage: Bacteria
Description: bacterial SSU rRNA
Rfam family: Bacterial small subunit ribosomal RNA
Source: RNAcentral